ACUUUGAUAGCUUAAAUGAGAGCAUAGCACUGAAGAUGCUAAGGUAACAGCUUUGUUUCAGGGUG
RNAcentral lists this transfer RNA (65 nucleotides) under Conus hybridus. Its description in RNAcentral is "tRNA-Phe". It matches the Rfam family "tRNA". From Rfam's summary of the family: Transfer RNA (tRNA) molecules are approximately 80 nucleotides in length. Their secondary structure includes four short double-helical elements and three loops (D, anti-codon, and T loops). Further hydrogen bonds mediate the characteristic L-shaped molecular structure. tRNAs have two regions of fundamental functional importance: the anti-codon, which is responsible for specific mRNA codon recognition, and the 3' end, to which the tRNAs corresponding amino acid is attached (by aminoacyl-tRNA synthetases). tRNAs cope with the degeneracy of the genetic code in two manners: having more than one tRNA (with a specific anti-codon) for a particular amino acid; and 'wobble' base-pairing, i.e. permitting non-standard base-pairing at the 3rd anti-codon position. Lineage: Eukaryota; Metazoa; Mollusca; Gastropoda; Neogastropoda; Conidae. The record is from RNAcentral.